AUUUGGAGUUUCACUUCAUUUGCUUUAUUACUCAGUACUGUUCCGUACUUUGUGUUUCACGUAUUAUCUUCACAUUAUACAAAUCCAGCACAAUCCUCCUCAGAAUGAAAUAGAAAACAUGGCAUGGGGAAGUAAAGGCUUUGCAGCUUCUAUGUGAAGAAUAUCUUGCAUGGUGCCCUGCUCUCAGCACAAUGUGACAGCAUGUUGAAAUAUUUCCUCGGUUUCCGUCAUUCAAAAUGAGAAACCCAUACUUGAAGGCUGACAGCCACGCAGCCCUUUCCUACACUGCUUUGUGACAGUGUUUGUCCAGAUAGCCUCUCCAGAAAUACCAUAAGUAGUCUAGGUGGUCAAACCUUUUUGCUUUCCACUCACUCGCAGUACAAAUAUUUAUCCCUUUUAUUCUAGUUCUGAAGCAUUACUUCUCAGAGGGGAAACAUUGUUUUAAGUGGGCACAGCCCAUCUUCUUCAGACAUCCAAGCAUGGCAGAUGGAUUGGACUGCAUCUGCAGACAUAGGGGAGCAUGUUUCAAUACCAUUAUGGAACUGGCUGAGUGUACUUCUAUACUACAUCAGUGAAUGACUGCAAGAACUGAUGACUUGGUCCUGCCAAGUACUUAAAAAAAAAAAAAACAUGACUAAUGACUUUGACCCCAGCAUUUGAAUGAACCUGCAACUUCAACACUGAAGAGAUGAAAAAGGAAAUCUGGGGUGCCCUGUCUUUUCCAACAUUUUGAAUCCAUAUCUGGUUCUGUCUUUGGGCAAAUCAAACAAAAGUUUUGAAAAACAUUCAAAGUAAUUCUGACUAUGGUCACCAGAGACUUCUUUUCACCUCUUGGCCACAAGAAGGAGGGUAAGACAUUCUAUAAUUUAUACAAAUAGAAAUGCAGUUGGGUAAGUGAAAGGUCCUUCCAGCCCAGUAUCUUGUGCCACAAGUGGCAGACGAUUUCUUCACACCUUCCUUUCCUCCCCAGUACCCACUCAAGUUAUUUCCUUUCCCCUGAGAAAUCCUCAGCCGCUUUAUAGGAGCUGUUUCAUGCCUUUGAUCACCUCAGGCUGCCAUGUUCAUAUCUCUUUUAUUAUUAUGUCUUUCUUGAAAUUAUGGGACCAGAACUACACAAUUUAGGUGAGAUAUUGUCACAUCUUGAAUUUUAACACAGUAAUGUCUUUGGUUUUGUUUACAAUCAUUUCCUUUCUAAUCUUUAUUCUUUUAUUUUCUUUUUCUGGUACUGUGUAAAGAACUGAAGUUUCCAAGGGAAAAAAUACCCCCCCAAAAAAAAGUUUCUUGGAGUCAUAAAAGUUAUUUUGAUGCCCAUAAUUCCCAUUUGCAUCAUUUUAUGUUUAUUAUUUGUCUUUUUUUUCCUACUUUUUAAAUUUCAUUUGUUGUGUUCAUUUCAUCAUUCUCUUUCAU
Molecule: long non-coding RNA, 1407 nt
Filed under: Anas platyrhynchos platyrhynchos (common mallard)
Lineage: Eukaryota; Metazoa; Chordata; Aves; Anseriformes; Anatidae
Description: lncRNA (ENSAPLG00000017803.1)
Source: RNAcentral